GUGCUCGCUUCAGCAGCACAUAUACUAAAACUGAAAUGAUGCAGAGAAGAUUCACAUGGCUCCUGCUCAAGGAUGACAUGCAAAUUCGUGAAGCAUUCCAUAUUUUU
Symphalangus syndactylus (siamang) is the source of this 107-nucleotide small nuclear RNA. Lineage: Eukaryota; Metazoa; Chordata; Mammalia; Primates; Hylobatidae. The record is from RefSeq and is a predicted model, not a curated record.